Molecule: transfer RNA, 85 nt
Filed under: Felis catus (domestic cat)
Lineage: Eukaryota; Metazoa; Chordata; Mammalia; Carnivora; Felidae
Rfam family: tRNA
About the family: Transfer RNA (tRNA) molecules are approximately 80 nucleotides in length.
Source: Rfam by way of RNAcentral
GCCUGGGUGGCUUAGUCGGUUAAGCAUCUGACUUCGGCUCAGGUCAUGAUCUCGCGGUCCGUGGGUUCGAGCCCUGCGUCGGGCU